AAUGAACGCUGGCGGCAUGCCUUACACAUGCAAGUCGAACGGCAGCAUGACCUCGCUUGCUAGGUUGAUGGCGAGUGGCGAACGGGUGAGUAAUGCAUCGGAACGUGCCUUUUAGUGGGGGAUAACGUAGCGAAAGUUACGCUAAUACCGCAUAUUCUCUGAGGAGGAAAGCAGGGGACCUUCGGGCCUUGCGCUAGAAGAGCGGCCGAUGUCGGAUUAGCUAGUUGGUGAGGUAAAGGCUCACCAAGGCAACGAUCCGUAGCGGGUCUGAGAGGAUGAUCCGCCACACUGGGACUGAGACACGGCCCAGACUCCUACGGGAGGCAGCAGUGGGGAAUUUUGGACAAUGGGCGCAAGCCUGAUCCAGCCAUGCCGCGUGAGUGAAGAAGGCCUUCGGGUUGUAAAGCUCUUUCGGCUGGGAAGAAAUCGCACCCUCUAAUACAGGGUGUGGAUGACGGUACCAGCAGAAGAAGCACCGGCUAACUACGUG
Molecule: ribosomal RNA, 490 nt
Filed under: uncultured bacterium
Lineage: Bacteria
Description: partial 16S ribosomal RNA
Rfam family: Bacterial small subunit ribosomal RNA
Source: RNAcentral